This 454-nucleotide ribosomal RNA is filed under the name uncultured bacterium. Its description in RNAcentral is "partial 16S ribosomal RNA". It matches the Rfam family "Bacterial small subunit ribosomal RNA", at positions 28 to 507 of the family's 1533-position model. The record is from RNAcentral.
GAUGAACGCUGACGGAAUGCUUAACACAUGCAAGUCAACUUGAACUUCGGUUUGGGUGGCGGACGGGUGAGUAACGCGUAAAGAACUUGCCUCACAGAUAGGGACAACAUUUGGAAACGAAUGCUAAUACCUGAUAUUAUGAUUAUAUGGCAUCGUAUAAUUAUGAAAGCUAUAUGCGCUGUGAGAGAGCUUUGCGUCCCAUUAGCUAGUUGGAGGGGUAACGGCUCACCAAGGCGAUGAUGGGUAGCCGGCCUGAGAGGGUGAUCGGCCACAAGGGGACUGAGACACGGCCCUUACUCCUACGGGAGGCAGCAGUGGGGAAUAUUGGACAAUGGACCAAGAGUCUGAUCAAGCAAUUCUGUGUGCACGAUGAAGUUUUUCGGAAUGUAAAGUGCUUUCAGUUGGGAAGAAAAAAAUGACGGUACCAACAGAAGAAGUGACGGCUAAAUACGUG